UUUGACAGAUUAGCGGCGGACGGGUGAGUAACACGUGGGUAACCUGCCUGUAAGACUGGGAUAACUCCGGGAAACCGGGGCUAAUACCGGAUAACUUCUUCCUCCGCAUGGAGGAAUAUUGAAAGAUGGCUUCGGCUAUCACUUACAGAUGGACCCGCGGCGCAUUAGCUAGUUGGUGAGGUAACGGCUCACCAAGGCRACGAUGCGUAGCCGACCUGAGAGGGUGAUCGGCCACACUGGGACUGAGACACGGCCCAGACUCCUACGGGAGGCAGCAGUAGGGAAUCUUCCGCAAUGGACGAAAGUCUGACGGAGCAACGCCGCGUGAGUGAUGAAGGUUUUCGGAUCGUAAAACUCUGUUGUUAGGGAAGAACAAGUACCGUUCGAAUAGGGCGGUACCUUGACGGUACCUAACCAGAAAGCCACGGCUAACUACGUGCCAGCAGCCGCGGUAAUACGUAGGUGGCAAGCGUUGUCCGGAAUUAUUGGGCGUAAAGCGCGCGCAGGCGGUUUCUUAAGUCUGAUGUGAAAGCCCACGGCUCAACCGUGGAGGGUCAUUGGAAACUGGGAGACUUGAGUGCAGAAGAGGAGAGUGGAAUUCCACGUGUAGCGGUGAAAUGCGUAGAGAUGUGGAGGAACACCAGUGGCGAAGGCGACUCUCUGGUCUGUAACUGACGCUGAGGCGCGAAAGCGUGGGGAGCGAACAGGAUUAGAUACCCUGGUAGUCCACGCCGUAAACGAUGAGUGCUAAGUGUUAGAGGGUUUCCGCCCUUUAGUGCUGCAGCUAACGCAUUAAGCACUCCGCCUGGGGGAGUACGGCCGCAAGGCUGAACUCAAAGGAAUUGACGGGGGGCCCGCACAGCGGUGGAGCAUGUGGUUUAAAUUCGAAAGCACGCGAAGACGUUACCAGGUCCUGACAUCUCUGACACCCUAGAGAUAGGGGCUUUCCCCUUCGGGGGACAGAAGUGACAGUGAUGCAUUGCUUGUCGUCAGCUCG
This 997-nucleotide ribosomal RNA is filed under the name Bacillus sp. (in: firmicutes). RNAcentral describes it as "bacterial SSU rRNA". The record is from RNAcentral. Lineage: Bacteria; Bacillati; Bacillota; Bacilli; Caryophanales; Bacillaceae.